GUUUUGAUAGUUUAAUAAAAAACAAUGAUUUUGUAAAUCAUAAAUAGAUUUUCUUCAAAACU
RNAcentral lists this transfer RNA (62 nucleotides) under Malcus setosus. RNAcentral describes it as "tRNA-Thr". It matches the Rfam family "tRNA". Rfam says of the family: Transfer RNA (tRNA) molecules are approximately 80 nucleotides in length. Lineage: Eukaryota; Metazoa; Arthropoda; Insecta; Hemiptera; Malcidae. The record is from RNAcentral.